UACGUAGGGUGCAAGCGUUGUCCGGAAUUAUUGGGCGUAAAGAGCUCGUAGGCGGUUCGUCGCGUCGGCUGUGAAAACCCGGAGCUCAACUCCGGGCCUGCAGUCGAUACGGGCGGACUCGAGUUCGGCAGGGGAGACUGGAAUUCCUGGUGUAGCGGUGAAAUGCGCAGAUAUCAGGAGGAACACCGGUGGCGAAGGCGGGUCUCUGGGCCGAUACUGACGCUGAGGAGCGAAAGCAUGGGGAGCGAACAGG
This 253-nucleotide ribosomal RNA is filed under the name uncultured bacterium. RNAcentral describes it as "partial 16S ribosomal RNA". It matches the Rfam family "Bacterial small subunit ribosomal RNA", at positions 524 to 776 of the family's 1533-position model. The record is from RNAcentral.